Molecule: ribosomal RNA, 490 nt
Filed under: uncultured bacterium
Lineage: Bacteria
Description: partial 16S ribosomal RNA
Rfam family: Bacterial small subunit ribosomal RNA
Source: RNAcentral
AGUGAACGCUGGCGGUAGGCCUAACACAUGCAAGUCGAACGGCAGCACAGGAGAGCUUGCUCUCUAGGUGGCGAGUGGCGGACGGGUGAGGAAUACAUCGGAAUCUGCCCAGUCGUGGGGGAUAACGUAGGGAAACUUACGCUAAUACCGCAUACGACCUUCGGGUGAAAGAGGGGGAUCGCAAGACCUCUCGCGAUUGGAUGAGCCGAUGUCGGAUUAGCUAGUUAGCGGGGUAAUGGCCCACCAAGGCGACGAUCCGUAGCUGGCCUGAGAGGAUGAUCAGCCACACUGGAACUGAGACACGGUCCAGACUCCUACGGGAGGCAGCAGCGGGGAAUAUUGGACAAUGGGCGCAAGCCUGAUCCAGCCAUACCGCGUGGGUGAAGAAGGCCUUCGGGUUGUAAAGCCCUUUUGUUGGGAAAGAAAUCUUUCAGGCUAAUACCCUGGGAGGAUGACGGUACCCAAAGAAUAAGCACCGGCUAACUUCGUG